GACGAACGCUGGCGGCGUGCCUAAUACAUGCAAGUUGAGCGCUGAAGGUUGGUACUUGUACCAACUGGAUGAGCAGCGAACGGGUGAGUAACGCGUGGGGAAUCUGCCUUUGAGCGGGGGACAACAUUUGGAAACGAAUGCUAAUACCGCAUAAAAACUUUAAACACAAGUUUUAAGUUUGAAAGAUGCAAUUGCAUCACUCAAAGAUGAUCCCGCGUUGUAUUAGCUAGUUGGUGAGGUAAAGGCCCACCAAGGCGAUGAUACAUAGCCGACCUGAGAGGGUGGUCGGCCAAAAUGGGACUGGGACACGGCCCAAACCCCUACGGGAGGGAGCAGUAGGGAAUCUUCGGCAAUGGAGGAAAGGCUGAACGAGCAACGCCGCGGGAGGGAAGAAGGGUUUCGGAUCGUAAAACUCUGUUGGUAGAGAAGAACGUUGGUGAGAGUGGAAAGCUCAUCAAGUGACGGUAACUACACAGAAAGGGACGGCUAACUACGUG
Molecule: ribosomal RNA, 497 nt
Filed under: uncultured bacterium
Lineage: Bacteria
Description: partial 16S ribosomal RNA
Rfam family: Bacterial small subunit ribosomal RNA
Source: RNAcentral